UGGGGAAUAUUGGACAAUGGGCGGAAGCCUGAUCCAGCCAUGCCGCGUGUGUGAAGAAGGCCUUUUGGUUGUAAAGCACUUUAAGCGAGGAGGAGGCUACUUGGAUUAAUACUCUAGGAUAGUGGACGUUACUCGCAGAAUAAGCACCGGCUAACUCUGUGCCAGCAGCCGCGGUAAUACAGAGGGUGCGAGCGUUAAUCGGAUUUACUGGGCGUAAAGCGUGCGUAGGCGGCUUCUUAAGUCGGAUGUGAAAUCCCUGAGCUUAACUUAGGAAUUGCAUUCGAUACUGGGAAGCUAGAGUAUGGGAGAGGAUGGUAGAAUUCCAGGUGUAGCGGUGAAAUGCGUAGAGAUCUGGAGGAAUACCGAUGGCGAAGGCAGCCAUCUGGCCUAAUACUGACGCUGAUGUACGAAAGCAUGGGGAGCAAACAGG
RNAcentral lists this ribosomal RNA (430 nucleotides) under Acidobacteriota bacterium. RNAcentral describes it as "Acidobacteria bacterium partial 16S ribosomal RNA". It matches the Rfam family "Bacterial small subunit ribosomal RNA", at positions 355 to 776 of the family's 1533-position model. The record is from RNAcentral. Lineage: Bacteria; Pseudomonadati; Acidobacteriota.